UCUCCGUAGGUGAACCUGCGGAGGGAUCAUUACAGAGUUCAUGCCCUACCGGGUAGAUCUCCCACCCUAUGUUAUUAUUACUUUGUUGCUUUGGCGGGCCGUUAGGCUCCGGCCCGACUACCGGCCCCGGCUGGUGAGCGCCCGCCAGAGGACCCAAAACCCUGAAUAUUAGUGUCGUCUGAGUACUAUAUGAUAGUUAAAACUUUCAACAACGGAUCUCUUGGUUCUG
Molecule: unclassified non-coding RNA, 229 nt
Filed under: plant metagenome
Description: partial contains small subunit ribosomal RNA, internal transcribed spacer 1, and 5.8S ribosomal RNA
Source: RNAcentral